UGGAAGCUUCUGGAGAUCCUGCUCCGUCGCCCCAGUGUUCAGACUACCUGUUCAGGACAAUGCCGUUGUACAGUAGUCUGCACAUUGGUUAGACUGGGCAAGGGA
This 105-nucleotide microRNA precursor is filed under the name Camelus dromedarius (Arabian camel). RNAcentral's name for it is "microRNA 199a-2 (ENSCDRG00005012874.1)". The stretch from base 21 to 100 matches the Rfam family "mir-199 microRNA precursor family". From Rfam's summary of the family: This family consists of the microRNA (miRNA) precursor mir-199 which appears to be specific to humans. Animal miRNAs are transcribed as ~70nt precursors and subsequently processed by the Dicer enzyme to give a ~22nt product. The record is from RNAcentral. Lineage: Eukaryota; Metazoa; Chordata; Mammalia; Artiodactyla; Camelidae.